RNAcentral lists this ribosomal RNA (468 nucleotides) under uncultured bacterium. RNAcentral describes it as "partial 16S ribosomal RNA". It matches the Rfam family "Bacterial small subunit ribosomal RNA", at positions 28 to 507 of the family's 1533-position model. The record is from RNAcentral.
GACGAACGCUGGCGGCGUGCUUAACACAUGCAAGUCGAACGGAAAGGCCCUGCUUUUGUGGGGUGCUCGAGUGGCGAACGGGUGAGUAACACGUGAGUAACCUGCCCUUGACUUUGGGAUAACUUCAGGAAACUGGGGCUAAUACCGGAUAGGAGCUCCUGCUGCAUGGUGGGGGUUGGAAAGUUUCGGCGGUUGGGGAUGGACUCGCGGCUUAUCAGCUUGUUGGUGGGGUAGUGGCUUACCAAGGCUUUGACGGGUAGCCGGCCUGAGAGGGUGACCGGCCACAUUGGGAAUGAGAUACGGCCCAGACUCAUACGGGAGGCAGCAGUGGGGAAUAUUGCACAAUGGGCGGAAGCCUGAUGCAGCAACGCAGCGUGCGGGAUGACGGCCUUCGGGUUGUAAACCGCUUUCGCCUGUGACGAAGCGUGAGUGACGGUAAUGGGUAAAGAAGCACCGGCUAACUACGUG